Molecule: ribosomal RNA, 253 nt
Filed under: uncultured bacterium
Lineage: Bacteria
Description: partial 16S ribosomal RNA
Rfam family: Bacterial small subunit ribosomal RNA
Source: RNAcentral
UACGUAGGCGGCAAGCGUUGUCCGGAUUUAUUGGGUUUAAAGGGUGCGUAGGCGGCUUAUUAAGUCAGUGGUGAAAUACUCUAGCUCAACUAGAGGGGUGCCAUUGAUACUGAUGAGCUUGAGUACAGAUGAGGUAGGCGGAAUUGACGGUGUAGCGGUGAAAUGCUUAGAUAUCGUCAAGAACACCUAUAGCGAAGGCAGCUUACUAGGCUGUAACUGACGCUGAGGCACGAAAGUGUGGGGAUCAAACAGG